RNAcentral lists this ribosomal RNA (532 nucleotides) under uncultured bacterium. RNAcentral describes it as "bacterial SSU rRNA". It matches the Rfam family "Bacterial small subunit ribosomal RNA", at positions 777 to 1312 of the family's 1533-position model. The record is from RNAcentral.
AAUAGAUACCUGGUAGUCCAUGCCGUAAACGAUGUCUACUAGCCGUUGGGGCCUUUGAGGCUUUAGUGGCGCAGCUAACGCGAUAAGUAGACCGCCUGGGGAGUACGGUCGCAAGACUAAAACUCAAAUGAAUUGACGGGGGCCCGCACAAGCGGUGGAGCAUGUGGUUUAAUUCGAUGCAACGCGAAGAACCUUACCUGGCCUUGACAUACUAGAAACUUUCCAGAGAUGGAUUGGUGCCUUCGGGAAUCUAGAUACAGGUGCUGCAUGGCUGUCGUCAGCUCGUGUCGUGAGAUGUUGGGUUAAGUCCCGCAACGAGCGCAACCCUUUUCCUACUUGCCAGCAUUUCGGAUGGGAACUUUAAGGAUACUGCCAGUGACAAACUGGAGGAAGGCGGGGACGACGUCAAGUCAUCAUGGCCCUUAGGCCAGGGCUACACACGUGCUACAAUGGUCGGUACAAAGGGUUGCUACCUAGCGAUAGGAUGCUAAUCUCAAAAAGCCGAUCGUAGUCCGGAUUGGAGUCUGCUAAC